GAUGAAGAACGUAGCGAAAUGCGAUAAGUAAUGUGAAUUGCAGAAUUCAGUGAAUCAUCGAAUCUUUGAACGCACCUUGCACCCUUUGGUAUUCCGAAGGGUAUGCUCGUUUGAGUGUCAUUGUACUCUCACACUUCCGAUCGUUUGGAUCGGGAGCGGUGGACUUGGGUGUUGCUGCUUUACUGUGGCUCACCUUAAAUGCAUUAGUGCACCUUUCGGUUGGACAUAGUACGGCGUGAUAAGUGUCUUCGCCGGCACCUCACAGAGGGUGGCUGAUCGGGAGCUCUGUGCUUCAAACCGUCCUCGGACAAUCUUUGACAACUUGACCUCAAAUCGAGUAGGACUACCCGCUGAACUUAAGCAUAUCAAUAAGCGGAGGA
This 380-nucleotide unclassified non-coding RNA is filed under the name soil metagenome. Its description in RNAcentral is "partial contains 5.8S ribosomal RNA, internal transcribed spacer 2, and large subunit ribosomal RNA". The stretch from base 1 to 120 matches the Rfam family "5.8S ribosomal RNA", at positions 35 to 154 of the family's 154-position model. The record is from RNAcentral.